CAUAACUAAAACUACACCUCAUUACCAGCUAAUAUUCAUAACUAAAACUACACCUCACUACCAGUUAAUAUUCAUAACUAAAACUACACCUCAUUACCAGUUAAUAUUCAUAACUAAAACUACACCUCAUUACCAGCUAAUAUUCAGAACUAAAACUACACCUCAUUACCAGCUAAUAUUCAUAACUAAAACUACACCUCAUUACCAGCUAAUAUUCAUAACUAAAACUACACCUCAUUACCAGUUUAUAUUCAUAACUAAAACCACACCUCAUUACCAGGUAAUAUUCAUAACUAAAACUACACCUCAUUACCAGUUUAUAUUCAUAACUAUAACUUCAUCUAGUUUUAACAUUCUGUCAUAUAAAAACACAUUUUAACCUGUUAGGGCUAGGGGGCAGUAUUGACACGGCCGGAUAAAAAACGUACCCGAUUUAGUCUGGUUACUACUCCUGCCCAGUAACUAGAAUAUCCAUAUAAUUAUUAGAUAUGGAUAGAAAACACCCUAAAGUUUCUAAAACUGUUUGAAUGGUGUCUGUGAGUAUAACAGAACUCAUAUGGCAGGCAAAAACCUGAGAAGAUUCCAUGCAGGAAGUGACCUGUCUGACUAUUUGUUGUCCUUCUGUUGCAUCUCUAUCAAAAAUACAGCAUCUCUGCUGUAAUGUGACAUUUUCUAAGGCUUCCAUUGGCUCUCAGAAGGCGCCAGAAAGUGUAAUGGGGUGUCUGCUGUCUCUGGGCGAAGAACAGCAGGAGAAUUUGUGAGUGGUCAGCCUGGGGACAGUGACACUGGAGAUGCGCUUUCAUUAGAAUUCUCCAUUUUUUUCUUUCAGCCUUUGAAUGAAUACAACGUCGCCCGGUUGGAAUAUUAUCGCUAUUUUACGAGAAAAAUAGCAUAAAAAUUGAUUUAAACAGCGUUUGACAUGCUUCAAAGUACGGUAAUGGAAUAUUUUGACAUUUUUUUGUCACGAAAUGCGCUCCCGCUUCACCCUUCGGAUAGUGACCUGAACGCACGAACAAAACGGAGCUAUUUGAAUAUAACUAUGGAUUGUUUGGAACCAAAACAACAUUUGUUGUUGAAGUAGAAGUCCUGGGAGUGCAUUCUGACGAAGAACAGCAAAGGACCUGAGCCCUAGGACUAUGCCUCAUGACUACCUGGCAUGAUGACUCCUUGCUGUCCCCAGUCCACCUGGUUAUGCUGCUGCUCCAGUUUCAACUGUUCUGCCUGCGGCUAUGGAACCCUGACCUGUUCACCGGACGUGCUUGUUGCACCCUCGACA
RNAcentral lists this long non-coding RNA (1276 nucleotides) under Salmo salar (Atlantic salmon). Its description in RNAcentral is "lncRNA (ENSSSAG00000087682.1)". The record is from RNAcentral. Lineage: Eukaryota; Metazoa; Chordata; Actinopteri; Salmoniformes; Salmonidae.